Molecule: ribosomal RNA, 468 nt
Filed under: uncultured bacterium
Lineage: Bacteria
Description: partial 16S ribosomal RNA
Rfam family: Bacterial small subunit ribosomal RNA
Source: RNAcentral
GACGAACGCUGGCGGCGUGCUUAACACAUGCAAGUCGAACGGAAAGGCCCUGCUUUUGUGGGGUGCUCGAGUGGCGAACGGGUGAGUAACACGUGAGUAACCUGCCCUUGACUUUGGGAUAACUUCAGGAAACUGGGGCUAAUACCGGAUAGGAGCUCCUGCUGCAUGGUGGGGGUUGGAAAGUUUCGGCGGUUGGGGAUGGACUCGCGGCUUAUCAGCUUGUUGGUGGGGUAGUGGCUUACCAAGGCUUUGACGGGUAGCCGGCCUGAGAGGGUGACCGGCCACAUUGGGACUGAGAUACGGCCCAGACUCCUGCGGGGGGCAGCAGUGGGGAAUAUUGCACAAUGGGCGGAAGCCUGAUGCAGCAACGCCGCGUGCGGGAUGACGGCCUUCGGGUUGUAAACCGCUUUCGCCUGUGACGAAGCGUGAGUGACGGUAAUGGGUAAAGAAGCACCGGCUAACUACGUG